This is a long non-coding RNA of Dasypus novemcinctus (nine-banded armadillo), 2024 nucleotides long. NCBI's taxonomy places the organism in Eukaryota, Metazoa, Chordata, Mammalia, Cingulata, Dasypodidae. The record is from Ensembl.
CGCUCCUCUCCCCUGCUUUCUUUUUCUGGCCGGCUCACAACCCAUCCGUCAAGCCGUGCCCCGAAGCUGACCUUUUGCAGAAAACAGCCUGCCUGAGAGAACCAUUUCUUUCUGGAGGGGAAAAAAGAAAAAAACCUCGCCAAGGAAUUUUAUUGAUGCUGGCAGGUCUGAUGGUGACCGGUGACCGGUGAGCCUCGCGCGGCCCCAUCCCUUCCGCCCCCUCGCAGGUGAGUUCUGUUGGCCUUAAGCGAGAAGGGGAGAGAGGGGUGGGGGACCCGACUUCCUUUGCCGUGGCCCUGUCGAAGUGUCUCUGCCCCCAGGAAUGUGCGCCAGGGUCCACCAGCCGCCUGCGGUGCCGCGGGGGCCUUGCCUCCUGCUAGGGCGCUCAGUUUCUACAGCUCCCCUCUCCAUCUCUGGUUUCUUCAAGGGCUCAGGGAAGAUACCAUGGCCUGCUCUUGGAGAAAAGGGCACCAUGGGAAAGGCAAGAAGAUUCACUUCAACCCUCUACAAGCCCGAACCCCAAAAUGGGCCUGCUCGUGUCUGAGCUCACUGCCUAACGUCUACCCAGCGCUCCCUCAGACUUGAGCUACAAAGUCAUCCACCCUCAGGGUUGGAAGAGACCUCAGUGAUCGCUUUUCCCACCCUUUCCCAAAUCUACCCCCAUCUGCUCUGACUCCUCUUGCGUCAAAUAUAUGGUUCUUAUUUCAACAUGCUGUGCCCAGUGAAAGCUCAAUAAAUAUUUAUUGAUGACGGUGCCAAUGAUGAAUUAACAGCCAAAGCUAUAAAAUUAAAGUUUCACACAAGGAGAGACCCUGGUGAGAAAGAAACUACUACAUAAAGCUUGAAAUUUUUCAAAAUGACAAGUGUUCACACACACAGACACACACGCACACACUGGGUGGCAGAACGAGGACCACAGUUCUCUAGGAAUCACCCUGGAGAACGAGAAAUGUCCUCAUUCGAUUUUCUGCUUCCAGAAUAUUUGUAGUAGGUUGGAUUAUGUCCCCCAGGAAAAAAAAUAAUGUUCUUAAUCCAUUCCUGUGUGUGUGAACCCAUCAUAAAUAGGACCUUUUGAAGAUGGUGUUCUUAGUUAAGGUGUGUCCCAGCUGAAUGAGGUUGGGCCUUAAUCCUAUUACUGAAAGUUUAUGAAAAGAAAGCCACGGUGGAGGAGCAAAAGCAGGAAGUCGGGAAACCCAGUAGAGAAAGGAGCGAACACUGAUGUGUGACAGAAGAGCCAAGGACUCAGGGAUCACUGGCAGCCAGUCCCAGAAUGCCACGGUGUUCAGGUAGGAAGCAUCGCCUUCCUGAUGGCCCAGUUUUGGACUUCUUGUGGCCUCCAAACCAUGAGCUGAUAUGUUUCCAUCGUUGAACCAACCCAUCGUGCAGUAUUUGUCAUAGCAGCUGGAAAACUAAGACAAUCUUCCCGCCUUUGUGGAAGGGCAUGCUUUGCUUCUCAGAGUCCCAUCAACGCAGUCUACCGGGAUCUGCCCGACCCUGGACUCAGAGUCUUACCUUGUCCCCUUGCCGGAACCACGGGCUCAUGGAAACAAAAUGGCGUCACUGAGUGCUUUAUCAGGUGUCCCCGAUGGACUGAAGUAAGUGCAAUAGCAGAUACAAUUCUGAGGUGGUUAAAACCUGGUGGGAAAAGAUUCAGGAGAGGACAGGUAGCUUGAACAAGAUUUUUUUUUUUAACAAGAUCACGUAUACCUAGAAGGAAAUGCUGGGGAAUGUCACCAUAAAGAAGCCAAGAUCUUGGAGGCCCAGGGGGUAGAGGCCAGUUACCACCAGCCAAUCACACACCAUGCCGUCUCUGGCUCCACCCCAGCAUGAUUGCAUGUGUGAACAUACUGAUUGUUGGACUAGGAAGAGCCUCCCGUGGUUCUUUUUCAGAACCAACUGACUGAGGUGAGUUUCCCCACAUCUGUGACUUCAGCAGCAGCCACAGAGGCAUGCUAGCCCCACUCAAUCUCCACCUCGUCUGACUUCGUACCAGUUCAGGGGAGCCUGCUAGGUCACAGAGGCUG